UGGAUUUAAUCCAGUUUAAAAUGAAAUUUAGUUUAAACUGUUACUGUGCAAACGGACCUAAACGUUUCCCCUUCUAAAGCAUGAACGGCUUUAAAAUCUAGACGAGUAUAAAUCCUAAUCCAAUCAAAGUCUAGUGUAGUGUGAAUAUUAAUCACUGUACGAUCUAUACCUAAUUGUAAUGGUUCUGUUCCCUGCAAUAUCAUUUUAAAUAUUGUAAAUGUGUUCAUGAAAUGAAUUCAUUGCUACUUUACUUCAAAACAGAUUUCUGAAAAUUUUGCGUUAAUGUGCUGUAUUUAUGACACGUGACAGGAUACGCCAAGUGAUAACAGCUGAUUGAGAGCAUAGUAUCAUUUUAUCAGCUGUUCUCUCAGUAAAAACAACCAUGUAGCUGUUUUUCUUCACCAGACACUCUCAAUCAUCCUUCUUGCUCUCACACUUUCUCUCUCUCUCUCACCCUUGCUAUUUUUAAGUGCCAAAUGCCAAACUGUACUUCAAUGAUUAAUAUUAUAAUGAUGAUGAUGAUGAUUGAUAACGGUGUUGAGAGAGGGCGUUGCAUAACGCUCUUGUUUACUGGCGUGUGUGCGCUGUAAAGAAUAUUCUGACAAUGUAACACGAACACGGUUGUUGAAGCUACAACAAUGCUUUGUACACUAAUUGAACCUUCAACUAUGAUAAUAUUAUUCUUUAAUAUUAUUGAAUAUAGUUUUAGUACUCCAAUAAAUUAAUAUUGUAUAUUGUUUAGUGUAUUAAAUGGCUCAGGCACAGGAGUACUUGAUAUUUCAUUCAUAAUGUCUCAAAAUCAAGUUAUUAUUUCGCUUCAUUCUUGAGUUCAAUUUUGUGUCAAAUACAUGAGGCAUGUUCUUCAAUUUAGAUGGAAUAGAAAGUAGAAACAUAAUCAAAUAGAACUGUUAAUGCUUCAAGAGAUAUAAUGACAGUAGCAAGUUCUUGGCUAGUUUCCAUCAGUUUGAAAUCUAGUCGCUGAUCCUAUGCUCUGAAAUCAAAAUAUUCAUUAUUUAUUAGUAACUUAUAUUACUUGCAUACAGUAUAGUAUACUAGCACAGAUAAUGAAAAGAAUGUAUGUAAUACUAGUAUGAGGUAGCCACCUCUAAUACAUUAGAGGCUAUGGUAAUAGCCAACACUGAAUCAAAUUAGUGGACUACAGUAGUGUUGAAAGAGGUAUUUCCCGUUUUCAACUCGCGUAAAAUUAGAGCUUAGCAUAAAAUAGGUUUUUAUUCGGUCAUUAACUUCUCCACGUGUAGUCAAUGAAAUUGAAAUGUAAAUAAAGUCGUAAAAGUGAUUGGUUUGGCUAGGUGGGUUGAUAGAGUUGAUUAUAAUUUGCUGUUUCAGUCAUAGUCAUUGACUAUAUUGCAGUUAUACAUCAGAUGAAUUAUUAUGGUUGUACACAUAAAUUACUGAAUCUUGGUUAAUCGUGGUAUCGUGAUUGACUGUUCUUUGUGACGCAAUCAUUGUAGGCGACUGUAAUAACGUGUAAAUACACCUUUUCAAUCUGAUAUGAACUUUUGGAAAAUUCUCGACUCAUAUUUUCACAGGUUUAGCUGAGGUGGAAGAAUUUUGAAGAGAUACGCCGAUAUAGUAACUGGUGUUUUUACCAGCGUUUUUGGCGAACGAAGUGAGCCCGCUGAUCUCAUUUUUGGACGAUCCAAUCGGGGGUCCAGGCUAUACGGAUAUGGCGAGCGAAGCGAGCCUGACGGCUUGUACAUUAUAUUCAUACUGUAUUGAAUUCUAUACUCUGUACAAGUAGUUUCUUUGUUAAAUUCGUUAGAUACAAGAAUGUUAUAAUGAUUUCUAAUAAAUUUUCAAAUUUCUAAUAA
This is a long non-coding RNA of Nilaparvata lugens (brown planthopper), 1832 nucleotides long. RefSeq lists it as uncharacterized. The record is from RefSeq and is a predicted model, not a curated record. Lineage: Eukaryota; Metazoa; Arthropoda; Insecta; Hemiptera; Delphacidae. The transcript is spliced from 3 exons.